CUGUUCUCAGGGGAGGAUAUAGUCACAUCGUGGACCAUCACUCCUUGACAGUUGUCAAACUUAAGAUGGCACUGUGAGCUGUUGACAAUAGUGAUGCCAGCUACUAAGAUGUUGAAACUACCAUAAAACCUCAAUGCCUGCAUCAGGUUUAAUCUGUGGCAUUCUAUCGAGCUCCACAUCGUACUGCAGGAAAGUAUCCAAGGUCCACCAUUGUUGCCCUCUGCCAUUUAUGAUGCCACUGCCUUGAAUUACUAUUCCAUUUAGUUUGGUGAACUCAAGCCACUGGAGCAAGCCAGAACCCCAGGCUUUAGCACUGGUUGGAGCUAGGAUUGUUCCUUCCAGCUGCAAAUUUCCACUGGAGGUGAUCAACAUGGAGUUUAUGUAAGUCAUGUGGAAGCGAGUCUGAAACAAAGCGUUUGAAGGGCAAACUGGACAAAAGGAAUUGGCAUUGAGAAUUUCCAACUCAGAGAACGCAUGGUGCUUGAUAAUUUUAUAAAUUUAGUUUGAAACAGAGCAUUUGAUGGUGAAGCGGGCAACCUU
Panicum virgatum (switchgrass) is the source of this 540-nucleotide long non-coding RNA. RefSeq lists it as uncharacterized. The transcript is spliced from 4 exons. Lineage: Eukaryota; Viridiplantae; Streptophyta; Magnoliopsida; Poales; Poaceae. The record is from RefSeq and is a predicted model, not a curated record.